Molecule: ribosomal RNA, 493 nt
Filed under: uncultured bacterium
Lineage: Bacteria
Description: bacterial SSU rRNA
Rfam family: Bacterial small subunit ribosomal RNA
Source: RNAcentral
GAUGAACGCUAGCGGCAGGCCUAAUACAUGCAAGUCAAGGGGAUAGCAAUAUCACCGGCGGACGGGUGCGUAACGCGUACAUAACGUACCCAAGGGAGGAGGAAAGCGGCGGGAAACUGCCGGUAAUACUCCAUGGUGUUGAAGGAUGGCAUCAUUUUUCAACUAAAGUACCAGCGCCCUUGGAUCGGUGUGCGUUCGAUUAGCUAGUUGGCGGGGUAACGGCCCACCAAGCCUGCGAUGGGUAGCUGGUCUGAGAGGAUGAUCAGCCACACUGGAACUGAGACACGGUCCAGACUCCUACGGGAGGCAGCAGUGAGGAAUAUUGCGCAAUGGCCGAAAGGCUGACGCAGCGACGCCGCGUGAGGGAUGAAGGCCUUCGGUUGUAAGCUCAAAGACAGGAAGAAACGGACACGGAAGAACGACGUGUCCUUGACGGUACCUGUUGUAAGCACCGGCUAACUCUGUGCCAGCAGCCGCGGUAAGUCUCGCGUGA